Xenopus laevis (African clawed frog) is the source of this 1621-nucleotide long non-coding RNA. RefSeq lists it as uncharacterized. Lineage: Eukaryota; Metazoa; Chordata; Amphibia; Anura; Pipidae. The transcript is spliced from 4 exons. The record is from RefSeq and is a predicted model, not a curated record.
ACCUUUCUGAUAAGGCUUACUUAGUUUUAACCUUUCCUUCUCCUUUAAAUUACAUUUUAAAUACAUUUUAUAUUUGACAGCCCAUAAUGUUCGUCAUAUCCGACUACUAGAACAAUGGAAAUGGCAAAAUUUAGAUGGCAAUAGGAGAGGGACAGUCUGCAACAAGCUACAACAAAAACAUAGACUGCAGGCUGCCAUGGCUUUGCCAGCUUGUUGUUCAGUAUCACCUCUCAUUCCUAGCAAAAUGAUGGUAGUGACCAGUCAUUUAGGGUGGUCUCCAGAGAUUUUUUAUUUCCCAGUAGUGCCACGUGGGAAGUAGGAACUACAUAUUGGGUACCACCUUAUACCACAGGUAGAAUUUAUUUGCCAAUGUUUCUAGUUCUAGUAGACGUCAGAAAAUUCUUGCAUAAGAUUUUGUCUUUUGUCUGAGAACAGUGGAGGAUGAACUGCCCCUCUUCACCUGUUAUCACUUUGAAUAAGGGAGCAACUCCACAGUGCGUCUCAAGCCGACAUGUCGCCAUGCGGCGAAACGCAUGCAACGUUUCUGAUGUUCUGAAGAUACAGGAAGUGAAAGAGAAAUUGCAGUAUGGAACGAAAAAAUGAAACCACAUGGACAAAUUAAAUUGCUACAGGUAGGACUACACGAACGAUUUUGGCACGAUCCGACGCGCUGCGACAAAACUCGUGACAAAAAUAAGUUCUAUCUCUUGAAACAAUAUAGCAGAGGUAAGUUCUCCUCCAGGUCUUAUAACAGAUACUACUUCCAAGAACCAUUACGUUUGCAAACAGCUGGAAAAGAGAUGAAAUGUUUUCAAUAAAUAUACAAGUAUAUUGGAACUUUGCUUAGAUUUGCAGUUUCUAAACACUAACAAUUUAAUAACUAUAAUAAUUACAUCACUGUAUACAUGAGAAAUACGAAUAGGUUUGCUUUAUAGCUUACCAUAUCCUGCCAUGGAGCCUCCAUUUCCACCAUUCAUUAGAUCUUUGUUCUCCUCAGCCAAAGCUUUGACAUAUCUUCUGCUCAAGUCUAAUAUUUCAUCUCUGAGCUCCUCGCUGCUCUGGUGUCUCGGAUACUGGAACGUGUAGCGCAGCAACAUCAGUCCCCAGACGAAUCCAAAAGCAAGGAGUAAAAUACUCAGUUUCUGUGAGACAGACUUUCUUGAAAACGUUAAAAUCAUGAUUUCAGCAGAUGUCAGGAAUCAGGUGUGUCCCCAGGAUUCACAAAAAGCGGUGACAGUCAAAUCUGUCUGUGCAGAUCAUCCUGGAAAUGACUCUCGUGGUGCCUGAUGCUUAUCUGUAGAUACCUAACAAUAACAGAUCUCUUAUCGGUAGUAUUACAAUUGGUUCUUUCCUAGCAGGUUUGCUGAACGCGGACAUCGUCUGCUAAACACGAAGGAUUAUGAACGAGGUUGAGAAAGGGUGCGAGAUGCCCUCAAAACGUGGCAACGAUUCAUAACUCUGUACAGAUAAGUUAUGAGACGAACUUUAUUACUCACUGCUAUUGUGGAACUGCACAGAACUUUAUACAGAAUGUUAUACAGACAUGCUAUGAAAAUUUGCAUAUAUGCACUGAAUGUGCCAUUGUUUUUUUGUAUCUGAAAUAAAUGCUACAUUUUAUGGA